UGUUAUGUUCAUACAAAUACUUACACGUUAAGUUUGCUGAAAAUAAAUGCAGUUGACAGUGAGAGGAUGUUUCUUUUUUUGCUGAGUUUAUUUACUAGCUAGUAAGUCUCAAGACAUGAAUACAUUUUUUGAUACAUUAGCUAGCCAGCAUUUUAAUAACAAUAACUGGUGUCUGGCUAUCAUUAGCUAAAUUAUCGCUAAUGUAGCUAGCUAGCUAAUGGGAAGUUACAUUGAUAACAUUAGAUUGGGUUAGGUUGCUUGCUUGCUAGCUACCCAACUGUCUAUGUGCUGAGUGCCUUAUACAGUUACUGUUAGCUAGCUAGAGCUGUCUAGCUAACGUUAGUGAUUACAUUACCUUUAAUAAUGCCUGGGUAUAAAAGUAAUGUUAAACCACUUAAAAUUCAAUGGUGUAGCUAAAUGUUACCUAGCUAGCUAACUUGCUCAAUAUGGAGGACAGUGACGUAGGCUAAUGUUGUUGUGCAGUGAGUUUGUCCUUGGGAAAAUUGUAGGUUGGAAAUUAACAUUAAUUACUAAGAGACACAAGACAUUAACUACUAGCUAACCUGUAGUUAGGUACAAAUGUUUUAUUUAACCAAAUUCUGAUGUUAACCAAAUUAGUAGCUAAUAUAUCAAAUACUAUAACUACAAAUGCAAUCAUUGCCUGGCGGAGAAGGCUCCACAAGGAGCCAACUAGUAGUCAGGGUUGCAAUGUCUGCGGUUUUCCCACGAAUGGACUACUUUGAAAACGGUGUUGUGGGUGAAAAUGUAUUGGUCGUGGGUUGCUGAUUUUUUGGGGUCUACUUCCAAGUUGCAUCCCAGGUAGCACAAACAUCUGGCCCACAUUUGUCCUAAUUCCAGCACGCCAGAUCUAAAACUGCUAGCAGCUGGAUCCGGCCAAAGUCCAAAAUGAAUGACUGUACAGACUAAGCCUGAGUCAUUCGGCCCAGAUAUGGCAGCCGGAACUGAGCCAAAGCUCCCCCACCUCAACCACUAAAAAUGUAGGUAGUAAUAUUGCAGCUAUCAACCGAACUAUGAACAACAUAAACAUGAAAAAAGACGUGACAUUUUCUUAUUUUAAGACUUUUAUUUAAAUAGAUGAAAUUGACUGUGUGGGUGUCCUCCCUCAAUAGACACUAUGUACACUGUCGUUCAAAAGUUUGGGGUCACUUAGAAAUGUUCUUGUUUUUUAAAGAAAAGCAAAUUUUUUGGUCCAUGAACCUUUUCACACGUACCAACCCACAGGUGUGAUCAUUCUACAGUGGUCCCUGUAGCAUACGAUCAAACCGGUGUGAUUAGAAUGCUUAUUUAGAACGGCCAGUUUCGAAUGACGCAACAAUCAACAUUUGAGCUGGCCACAGUUUUUUCAGUAACAUUUUGCACAAACAGUCUUUACAAAGUUAUGUCCAGAAUGUGAGCAGUUUAUUUUUGGAUGCAAUGUUCAGACAUUCACAGAAGUAUCUACAGCAUAACACAAUCAUCCAAACCGGAAAAAUGUUUGCUACGUUUGUCCUAGCGCUAACUGAGGAAAGAUUGACGUAACAAGCGGUCAUAUUUUUAUAACUCUCAUCUGACAUAAACUACAAUAGAAAUUAGCUAAUAGCAAUUACUAUUUAUAAUUAAUCACAUCACGGGUGAGCUCACCAUUGAUCGAAAUAAUUGAGUUAAACACUUUCUAGAAAUCGAAAGUAAUCGGACGAUGGGUAGUUUCUGCGCACCACCAUGCUUUCCCCCCCCUCACAGGAACCAAAGAUAAUAAGAGAAGACAAGAUGAGUUUGGUCUGUUUAUAGUAUGCAUGUUGAAGGGGGUGUGUCGUCUACCAUCGUUCACAUCCUACCAUUCACUAUCGGAAGUUCUCAAACUGAGUGAAUUCUUACUCACCUCAUUUUGUUAUAACUGGAAUUAGCUUAGCUCAUCAUAAAUCAGUACAACCUUCAAAAAAGUAUUUUACACACAUAAUGUGCCCAUUACAAUCUAUGCAAGAAUCGGAAUGCAUGAUUUGUCAAUAGUACUUAAACGUGAAUAAAAAAGUUUAUAUAUAAAUAAUUCCCCCACAAAACAUUUUCCGAUAGUGAUUUAUUGAUUCAAGUGGCGCGUGCCAGCAGUCAAUCACGUAACCUCUCACUCUGAGCCAUUCAGGGUUGUUGUUUAUGUAUGUAGCUAGUGAGAUAAGCUGUAGCAUUAGCAAUGUCUUUCAAAAGGAGACCACUCACAAAUGAGGAAAUUCUGGAGGGUUUUUUUCUUCUAAAAAUGAGUCAAAGUCAGGAAUCAGAUUCUGACAGUGAGGAGCUGCCCCCCAACCUUGUAUCCAUUGAGAACCCUGAAUCUGAGGACUCCUUGUCGACUGACAAAGUCCCAGGUCCCUUUGAAGAUGCUGGUGGUGAUGGAGGCAGACUGACCGUGGAUGAAGUACAGGAGUUCUGUGGUAGCUGGAAGGCCGCCAGCCAUUUCACUCCUCCUGGCCCUGCUGUUUGCUUUGAUGAGUCCCAGUCUGGAGUGCAACACCCCUUGCCAUUACCAUCUGAGGCAGAGUGCUUCAAGCUGUUUCUGACAGAGGAGCUGGUGAGAGACAUAGUAGAGACCAAUCGCUAUGCCUUGGAGCUACAGGAAAAAAGAGCCAGGAGUGAGGGGGAAACUCGCUAAAUGGGUAACAACCACAAUUAAUGAAAUGCAUACCUUCCUGGUGACAGUCCUUCUCAUGGGGAUAGUAAAGAAGAACUCCCUAAGAGAAUACUGGAGCACAGAUCCUAUGUUUGCAACUCCCUUGUUUGCCACCCUCUAUUCCCAAGACCACUUCCUAGUUCUGCUGCGAUGCCUGCAUGUCGUCAACAAUGCUACUGCCAUCCUAGAUGACCCGUUAUACAAAAUAAGAAAUGUUCUUACCAGCCUGGCAUCAGCAUUUGGUCGGGUCUUUGUGCCAUACAACGACCUAUGCAUUGAUGAGUCCCUGAUGUUAUGGAAAUGUAGGCUGGCGUUCCGUCACUAUAUUCCCUCCAAAAGGCACAGGUUUGGGGUCAAGUUCAUUGUCAUGUGCGACGUGAAGACAGGAUUUGUCCAGGACAUUAUAGUUUACACAGGGUCCACCACUGACAUCCAACAUUGAGAGGCUUGGGGUGUCCGGGUCCGUGCUGAUGACCAUGCUGGCUGCUUAUCUAAGCAAGUGACACACUUUGUAUCAGGAGCAUAACAGGGAUAACCCUGUUAUCCUGGGAGUGCGAUGGUCGCCUUGAUCCAGUACAUUCAGCACAGAGACCAGGAGGGGGGCAGCUGCUGUGGCCAGGCCCGCCGCAGCCAGCACCACCCCCGCCAGUAACACCCGGCCCAAGAGUGCGGCAAGGUAAGUGUUACAUAUCAUCUUACAGGAAAAUAGAAUUCUACUUGUUCCACACAGUUGGAAAUGAUCACAUAUUUGGUAUGUUUUGUUGUCAAAGGCCUCUUGGUCCUGUGAUCUCGGCGUUCCUGUCAAGGCACUCUCUCGUCCCAGGGUGUCUUUCCCUCAGCCGGCACUGCCACCGACAGAGCCAUUGGACGCAGAGCUGGUCAAAGCAGCCGCUGACGUAGACACACGUACGUUUUUACGUCACUAUUAAUUGACAUAGGACAUUUGAUAAGUUUUGAUAACUAUUCAGUUAGUCUGCUGACAUAUUAAAGUGUUGUCACUUAUUUCCUAUCAUCAGCCCAAAGAAGUGUAUUGGUAAGAGUAAUUUGGGUUUAGAGGAGAGUCACUGCAUGUAUGCACAAUUAAACGUCUUGCCUUGUCACAGCAGCUGUCAUCCAGCAUGUCACGGAAUCAUGAGUUUCUCUUUUCCAUUUUAAUCAAUCUUUAAAUUUUACUCUGAAUUCUUGACCAACACUCAUUUCAUUAUUUUGUUACAUCCUAUCACUGAUUGAUAUUCAUCUGGGCAUGUUGGAAUGUGCUAUUAUUUUAAUCUAUCUCAUCUACAUUUCUAAUAUGACACUGUCAUUCAUUCAAUUGAUUUAUUUCUGUGUCACUGCAAAAGCCGUAGCCCUACAGGUCCUCCCAUCGCUCCCUCUGCCUCAAACUGACCCAGUCCCAGCCCCACUGGGGCAGAACGAAGAAGAUGAUUUGCCCCGGCAGUCCUUCCUGCCUCCAAAGCCCGCCUCAGAAAGUGCUGAGGCUGUCCUGUGACCUGCGGGUUGUGAGCAUGCUGAGGUCGCGCACAUUGGGGAACAGUGCAUCACAGACCUACAGCAAGCUGUGUGAGUCACAGUGAGUCCUGGAUGCGGAGUUCUACACGGUACCUCGGCGAGUGCGAGCAGUUCACCAGUCCUCCAGAGAUGCCCCCCGGUGCCCUCACCCGUCUGGCUGCUGACGGUCUACAGCCAUGACGUGCUGUCGCGGCUGGACGAGGUGUAGGCCAGGGUCACCUCCAUCUUUGGGUCCAUCUUAAAGAUGGACUCUACCAAGAAGGGGAACACCUCGGAGUUGAGUACCUGUACUCGCAGACUACUGCAGGAUGUCAGCGCGGACCCUGAAGUUUCAGAAGAGGUAGCCGCCGUCGAGCAGCUCGACGAGGAAGACAAGGGCUUUCAGGAGGAUGUGGACCCGACAGUUCACAUCCCUCCUGUUACUCCUAUGAGCGUCCCGUCCUCCAGCUCAGCGGCACCUCUGUAAGGGAAACCGCUGACGCACCCAGGUCUGGGCCAUCCUGUCCCACCGCGCCUGAAGACGGAAGCUCUCCUGAGGCCCCUGAUCGCCAGAAUUCUCCUCACCCUGACCACUCCUCUGAUUCAGAGAGGAAUCAUAUGUCUGCAGGCUUGCCGGGGCCUUGGUGGGGAUGAGGAACCACAGGGUAGAUGGUCUGGUGGCGCUGUGGCUGGCACUGCCAGACUACGACAAGCAGCGCUUGAUCUACCGGCAUGGUAGAUCCCGACACCAGGAGAGAAUUGUUUGGUGGAGACCAUUUGCAGUCGCCUCUGUCAAAUCCAUCUCAGCGCCAUGCAGUCUGCCGGCGUCAAGACGAGCAGGUACUACCGGCAUCAGAAGGAGAGGAUUGGGGCUCGCCCCUCCACUACCAACGGGAGGGAUCCAGGCACCCUUCCCUUCGCCCCCCCGAUCCCACGCCAGGCCAUCCAACAAGGACGGCUCGCCCACGCGCCCAUUCUGCCAGCCCAUCUGGAGCAACAACACCCCGCAUUUCCGGACCCCUCCCAAGCCCUGCCAGCCCAAGGACCACCCCCGGCUUCCUCUUUACCUCCUCUGGUUCCAAGGACAACAGCUUGGCGGAGGACAAGGAGGGGACAGCCGGGAAGGCAGCAAUAUGAUCCAAAUGCGGGUUGCCGAAGCGGCGGGAGACGGGCAUAGUCACGUCGGUGGAAUGGCGUUCUCCUCUGUUGUUGCGGGGGGUAAGAACCAUUAGCUGGCGGAAAUGAAGGACGCUAAAGGGGCGAGGUGACAGACACUGAGCCACUGGCUGGUCGGAUAUUUUUUUCGUUUGGAACCAUGUCUCCUUUCUCACUUGUUGGUACACUAAUGCAUCUGUCACAAAACAAAAGGGCCCGGCUGACCACAACAAAGCCUCUCAAAGCACAUGGCUACUUAAUACGCAUUGUUGACCCAUGCCUUCUGUCACCCAGCAAAACCCCCCUUUUCCCCUCUUCCUUGGACUGAGAAGAUUACGGGAUCGAGAAAUCACCCAGAGGUUUAAUCAGAAUUUGAAAUCUUGGAACACAGGUUAUCUUGGUGAAUGAUAGUGAAAUUUAUCCACGGGGCGGCCAAUCUUAUCUUCAAUAAGCUUUGCGAAUCGUUUAUGCUUCCCCAGCAGUCAGUUCUAAUAGCGAACUGACUAUGCUGACUAGUCACCUCGCCUCAAAAUGAUCCGUGAAGGCUUUUGCUACAUCUUCCCCUUUAGUAGUACCAUGCAUGGGUUUUAGACCAAGCACCUCUCCUCAUGUACCUCUGAGUCACAGUAUCUUGCAACAACUGCCAGACGUGAAAUGUCAUUCACAUCCACACUAAACAGGUGCAUCUUUUAACGCUAAAGUUUGCUGUUCCUUUACAUUUUCAACCAUCUCGGUAACGUGCCUUUCAACAGACACAUGCAUGUCUUUUAUCUUUGAGAUGAUUGUGUCUUUGUUAGGCAAUCCAUCAAAUAAAGCCUGCAAACUGAGGAAAGACUCCUUAAUAUAUUCCCCAUUAGUAAAUGGUUUAGCAAUGCACUGCGCAACUUUGUAGCUCCCCUCUGUAGCGUGAUUUUUUUGACAGCAUAUAGAUUUGUAAACACACUGCUUUGCUUUUCAUACCUGGACACAGCCCUCUUGAUUCCUUUAGCCUUGUCCGCCUCCUAGGAAGUUUUCCUCAUGUGUCGUUUAAAAUGACGCUGUACACUUGACGUCCGACAAACAACAGUUUUACCACAGCCAGCUCUUAAGUAAAAUGAGUCCAUAGUCCUUUGUCCAAGACGCAAUAAAUGAGCGGACAUGUCUUA
Non-coding RNA from Salmo salar (Atlantic salmon), 6447 nucleotides. The record is from RefSeq and is a predicted model, not a curated record. Lineage: Eukaryota; Metazoa; Chordata; Actinopteri; Salmoniformes; Salmonidae.